This 398-nucleotide ribosomal RNA is filed under the name bacterium. RNAcentral describes it as "partial 23S ribosomal RNA". It matches the Rfam family "Bacterial large subunit ribosomal RNA", at positions 2548 to 2925 of the family's 2925-position model. The record is from RNAcentral.
UGGGGCUGAAGCAGGUCCCAAGGGUAUGGCUGUUCGCCAUUUAAAGUGGUACGCGAGCUGGGUUCAGAACGUCGUGAGACAGUUCGGUCCCUAUCUGCCGUGGGCGUUGGAGAUUUGAGGGAAGCUGACCUUAGUACGAGAGGACCGGGUUGGACGAACCUCUGGUGUUCCGGUUGUCACGCCAGUGGCACAGCCGGGUAGCUACGUUCGGAAGGGAUAACCGCUGAAAGCAUCUAAGCGGGAAGCCCCUCCCAAGAUUAGAUCUCCCUGGGAACUUGAUUCCCCUAAAGAGCCGUGGAAGACCACCACGUUGAUAGGCUGGAUGUGGAAGCGCAGUAAUGCGUGCAGCUAACCAGUACUAAUGACUCGUGAGGCUUGACCAUAUAACACCCAAAUGG